This is a long non-coding RNA of Balaenoptera acutorostrata (minke whale), 917 nucleotides long. RefSeq lists it as uncharacterized. The record is from RefSeq and is a predicted model, not a curated record. The transcript is spliced from 3 exons. Lineage: Eukaryota; Metazoa; Chordata; Mammalia; Artiodactyla; Balaenopteridae.
ACACCCGCCUCCCACAGCUCCGCAGCUAGAGGAACACCCCCAUUCUCCCUCCCUGGCUUUGCAUGCUGCUUGGCCACGCGGGGCUCAGGAGACAUCCUGAAAGACUCCCUAAGGCUAGGGAGGAAGGGAGAAAGAGGCCGCGGGGAGCAGUGGUGGUCGGGGGUGAUACUUUGACGGAAAAAAAAAAAAAAAGGUCAAACUUGGUCAGCCCGCCAGGCACCCCGCGGACAGCGGGGGCGAGGAGCCGCAGGGGAAAUGUAGAAGUGGCCACCGCCCCCUCCAAGUGGAGGGGGAGACUCAGCCACGCGUCGUCCUGGGCAUUAGAGCAGUAAUGCCCCCAAAACACAGGGCUGCGAAUGGGGUCUGUUGGGGGGAGUGCGCGCCAGAGAUCUCCAAUCAGCCGCCCCCGCAGGCGGAGCGCCCGCCCAACACCGAGAGUGAUCUGCGACCGAGCUGACUGCGGCUUGGGGAGGCUUGAGUAUAGAAGAGGCCAUCGAGCGAUCACCGGAGCUAGGGCUCCCAGCGUCCGGGGCUCCGAGGCUCAGACUACGAGCGCCCCCCGCCACACCCAAACACGGACCCCUCUUUUCCCGUCCCUGGCUCUCCGCACCUGAACUUCGGGGGAGCCCGCGCCGCCAAACUUUCCGCAGACUUGCAGCGAACUCCGGCCCCGGCCGCGCACCGGGCCCCGGGGGAGGAGAGGGAGGCUGCUGGCCCCGGCCAGGAUCCUGAAUGGCUUUUUAGCACGCUCCAAGUUCUACAUUUGGGAGCUACCAGAUGACAAACCUGACUGGCUGAAAGCUGGACUGGCCUUGGGUACCUCCAUCUUCUUGUGGAUCUAUCUCAUCAAACAUAAUGAAGAUGUUUUAGAAUAUAAAAGAAGAAAUGGGUUGGAAUAAACUUUUGAAAUACUAAUA